Molecule: ribosomal RNA, 1104 nt
Filed under: Bacteroides ovatus
Lineage: Bacteria; Pseudomonadati; Bacteroidota; Bacteroidia; Bacteroidales; Bacteroidaceae
Description: bacterial SSU rRNA
Rfam family: Bacterial small subunit ribosomal RNA
Source: RNAcentral
CCGGAAUAGCCUUUCGAAAGAAAGAUUAAUACCGGAUAGUAUACGAAUAUCGCAUGAUAUUUUUAUUAAAGAAUUUCGGUUAUCGAUGGGGAUGCGUUCCAUUAGUUUGUUGGCGGGGUAACGGCCCACCAAGACUACGAUGGAUAGGGGUUCUGAGAGGAAGGUCCCCCACAUUGGAACUGAGACACGGUCCAAACUCCUACGGGAGGCAGCAGUGAGGAAUAUUGGUCAAUGGGCGCAGGCCUGAACCAGCCAAGUAGCGUGAAGGAUGAAGGCUCUAUGGGUCGUAAACUUCUUUUAUAUGGGAAUAAAGUUUUCCACGUGUGGAAUUUUGUAUGUACCAUAUGAAUAAGGAUCGGCUAACUCCGUGCCAGCAGCCGCGGUAAUACGGAGGAUCCGAGCGUUAUCCGGAUUUAUUGGGUUUAAAGGGAGCGUAGGUGGAUUGUUAAGUCAGUUGUGAAAGUUUGCGGCUCAACCGUAAAAUUNGCAGUUGAAACUGGCAGUCUUGAGUACAGUAGAGGUGGGCGGAAUUCGUGGUGUAGCGGUGAAAUGCUUAGAUAUCACGAAGAACUCCGAUUGCGAAGGCAGCUCACUAGACUGUAACUGACACUGAUGCUCGAAAGUGUGGGUAUCAAACAGGAUUAGAUACCCUGGUAGUCCACACAGUAAACGAUGAAUACUCGCUGUUUGCGAUAUACAGUAAGCGGCCAAGCGAAAGCAUUAAGUAUUCCACCUGGGGAGUACGCCGGCAACGGUGAAACUCAAAGGAAUUGACGGGGGCCCGCACAAGCGGAGGAACAUGUGGUUUAAUUCGAUGAUACGCGAGGAACCUUACCCGGGCUUAAAUUGCAAAUGAAUAAUCAAGAAAUUGGUUAGCCGUAAGGCAUUUGUGAAGGUGCUGCAUGGUUGUCGUCAGCUCGUGCCGUGAGGUGUCGGCUUAAGUGCCAUAACGAGCGCAACCCUUAUCUUUAGUUACUAACAGGUCAUGCUGAGGACUCUAGAGAGACUGCCGUCGUAAGAUGUGAGGAAGGUGGGGAUGACGUCAAAUCAGCACGGCCCUUACGUCCGGGGCUACACACGUGUUACAAUGGGGGGUACAGAAGG